CAGUGGGGAAUAUUGCACAAUGGGCGAAAGCCUGAUGCAGCGACGCCGCGUGAGGGAUGACGGCCUUCGGGUUGUAAACCUCUUUCAGCAGGGACGAAGCGCAAGUGACGGUACCUGCAGAANAAGCACCGGCUAACUACGUGCCAGCAGCCGCGGUAAUACGUAGGGUGCAAGCGUUGUCCGGAAUUACUGGGCGUAAAGAGUUCGUAGGCGGUUUGUCGCGUCGUUUGUGAAAACCAGCAGCUCAACUGCUGGCUUGCAGGSGAUACGGGCAGACUUGAGUACUGCAGGGGAGA
This 296-nucleotide ribosomal RNA is filed under the name uncultured bacterium. RNAcentral describes it as "partial 16S ribosomal RNA". It matches the Rfam family "Bacterial small subunit ribosomal RNA", at positions 352 to 660 of the family's 1533-position model. The record is from RNAcentral.